This 326-nucleotide ribosomal RNA is filed under the name Bacteroides sp. RNAcentral describes it as "SSU rRNA". It matches the Rfam family "Bacterial small subunit ribosomal RNA", at positions 1166 to 1500 of the family's 1533-position model. Lineage: Bacteria; Pseudomonadati; Bacteroidota; Bacteroidia; Bacteroidales; Bacteroidaceae. The record is from RNAcentral.
GAGGAAGGUGGGGAUGACGUCAAAUCAGCACGGCCCUUACGUCCGGGGCUACACACGUGUUACAAUGGGGGGUACAGAAGGCAGCUACACAGCGAUGUGAUGCUAAUCCCAAAAGCCUCUCUCAGUUCGGAUUGGAGUCUNCAACCCGACUCCAUGAAGCUGGAUUCGCUAGUAAUCGCGCAUCAGCCACGGCGCGGUGAAUACGUUCCCGGGCCUUGUACACACCGCCCGUCAAGCCAUGAAAGCCGGGGGUACCUGAAGUCCGUAACCGCAAGGAGCGGCCUAGGGUAAAACUGGUAAUUGGGGCUAAGUCGUAACAAGGUAAA